This 241-nucleotide ribosomal RNA is filed under the name uncultured bacterium. RNAcentral describes it as "partial 16S ribosomal RNA". It matches the Rfam family "Bacterial small subunit ribosomal RNA", at positions 524 to 764 of the family's 1533-position model. The record is from RNAcentral.
UACGGAGGGGGCUAGCGUUGUUCGGAAUUACUGGGCGUAAAGCGCACGUAGGCGGCUUCUUAAGUCAGGGGUGAAAUCCUGGAGCUCAACUCCAGAACUGCCUUUGAUACUGAAGAUCUUGAGUUCGGGAGAGGUGAGUGGAACUGCGAGUGUAGAGGUGAAAUUCGUAGAUAUUCGCAAGAACACCAGUGGCGAAGGCGGCUCACUGGCCCGGAUACUGACGCUGAGGUACGAAGCGAUG